Lathyrus oleraceus (garden pea) is the source of this 1918-nucleotide long non-coding RNA. RefSeq lists it as uncharacterized. The record is from RefSeq and is a predicted model, not a curated record. NCBI's taxonomy places the organism in Eukaryota, Viridiplantae, Streptophyta, Magnoliopsida, Fabales, Fabaceae. The transcript has 3 exons.
CUUAAAACCCUUAUCAUUUCUCCUAAUUCUUUUGAUUUCAAUCAGGUUUAUUCCAAUUCUUUAGUUUCGUAUUCCAUUCUUCACCCUCUUGCUUAUGGGUUUUCAAUUAUUUUUGACCUAAAAGUCAUUUGGAUUUGAAUUUUCUUUCUUUUCUUAUUUUCUCUAUUCAUUAAAUGGUUUAUGUUUUGGAUUUUGUAAUUUUACAAAGCUUUGUUUCGAUGUAUCUCAUUUAUGGACAUUGAAAAUUCUUAGAGGGCAGAAAAUUAUAACAAACAUGGAUGGAAGUUGAGCUUGUUAGACGGGUAGAUUCAUAUGUAUUAAUAGUGACACAUAGAAGUGCUACGAUUGUUUUUUGUUUAUGUACAAUGUGAAAUAUGCUUUGUUUCUUCAAUAUGUUACUAACGUUCUUACUGGUAUUGUAUCUUAUCUACCCGGUCUCAAACUUAAUAAGAAAGGUCUCUUCGUUUUGACGUGUUCAAUGGUUUUGUGCCAGAGAUUGUAACUGGUGGGAUUGAAGUUUGGGUGGAUCACGAGUGUGCUCAAGAGAUGUUUAGGAAGAAGUUGUGGGGUGGUAAUUUUCGAGUAGAUUACAAAAGGUGAAUAAUUGUAUGUUUAUUAAUAACUUUGUUUGGUUGUUUAGUGUUUUUGGUAUUGUUUUGUGUGUUUGCGAGUGUGUUUUGAUUUUAAAUUGAUUAAUUUUUAUGAGGAUGGUGAUGGUGAUAGUAGAUUGAAAUGAAAUGAAAAUUUUGAAAUCUUAAAUCUAAACCCAAACACUAUUAUAGACGUUUUUCUUUGCUGGAACAAUUUGUGGGUCAGUGCUAACUGCUUAUGCUUUUGGGAUAAUCUGGUUCUUGAUAUGCUAGGAAAGCCUCUUUGACCUGGUUCUUUGAUUAUUUCUCUAUUGUUUACAAGGAGGAGUUAUAUCCAAUCCAAGUUCUAAGUAGGUAUUUGAGCCCAUCUAACAAGGUGGGAAUGCAGGAAAUAGAGUGUGAAGUGGAAGGAAGCGUGAAGCAAUAGGGAAAUGUAACCAAAUUGACAGUUGAUAUUAUGCAGGAAUCAUGAUUGAAGACGAGGAGAGGGAAGAAAAGGAAUUUAUUGAGUGAGGAAUAGAAGCAAUGACGUAGGAGAGAAUUGAAAGAAGUGUUGCCUUGUGCAGGGAUCAUGAUUGGGGACAGGGAGAGAGAAGAAAAGGAAUAUAUGGAGUGAGGAUAACAUAAUAACGUAGAAUUUUUUUGAAGUGUUGGAUAUGGCAGAGCUGAGAAUUGGGGUCUCAAUCUCUAGACUAUCUUGUUCCUUGUUCCUUGUGUUAAUGAUCAAUAAAGACCGUAAUCUUGUGUACCAUUUUUGGAAUCAGAAAUAACAAAAAAGCAUGCACUAGUGUCAAUCAAAUUGAGCACAAAGAUGGAGGAUGAACUUGAUUAUUGAAUUUACGACAGGCACACGGUACUUCCAUGAAUUGCACGUCCUAUCACUUCAAGUUAAAUGUUUAUGCCUCAACGAGCUCUUUCGGUAGAUAAACUAGAUUCAUAUGCUUCAUCACUUGGUCAGUAUAUAGGCUUGGAGUUACCUCUUUUAAACUUUUAUGGAUUUGUUAUCUGGUAAAUUUCGACCUAAAUAGCAUGAAGUCAGAUCGAUCAAUAUGAGGUCGGAGGUUGGAUUGACGAAGGGGGAAAUCAAGAGAGCUGGAUUGACAAGGGAGGUGAGUCAAUCAAAGUCGAAGGUCAGCUUACCACGACGGGAACUGAUCGUGGGAAGCCGAAAGUGGGAAGUUACCAGCAACAUGGGUGACAGGCUCCGACACGUGGCACAUUAUGAAUGAGUCAUAACCUACUAGCAGAUAUUUCUUAUUACUAUUUAAAUAUAUGUAAUUUUUAUUUCAAGGGUUGACAUUUUUAACAUUACAAUAGGAAUACAUUUG